Molecule: non-coding RNA, 83 nt
Filed under: uncultured Corynebacterium sp.
Lineage: Bacteria; Bacillati; Actinomycetota; Actinomycetes; Mycobacteriales; Corynebacteriaceae
Description: Glycine riboswitch
Rfam family: Glycine riboswitch aptamer
About the family: This family represents the bacterial glycine riboswitch. Glycine riboswitches usually consist of two metabolite-binding aptamers domains with similar structures in tandem.
Source: RNAcentral
UAGCGGGAGAGGCCGUGCCCCAAGCGCCGGCUGCCGAAGGAGCAAAUCCUCCCCGGGACACUCUCAGGCACCCGUACCGCCGU